RNAcentral lists this ribosomal RNA (468 nucleotides) under uncultured bacterium. Its description in RNAcentral is "partial 16S ribosomal RNA". It matches the Rfam family "Bacterial small subunit ribosomal RNA", at positions 28 to 507 of the family's 1533-position model. The record is from RNAcentral.
GACGAACGCUGGCGGCGUGCUUAACACAUGCAAGUCGAACGGAAAGGCCCUGCUUUUGUGGGGUGCUCGAGUGGCGAACGGGUGAGUAACACGUGAGUAACCUGCCCUUGACUUUGGGAUAACUUCAGGAAACUGGGGCUAAUAUCGGAUAGGAGCUCCUGCUGCAUGGUGGGGGUUGGAAAGAGUCGGCGGUUGGGGAUGGACUCGCGGCUUAUCCGCUUGUUGGUGGGGUAGUGGCUUACCAAGGCUUUGACGGGUAGCCGGCCUGAGAGGGUUGCCGGCGACAAUGGGACUGAGAUACGGCGCAGACUCCUACGGGAGGCAGCAGGGGGGAAUAUUGCACAAUGGGCGGAAGCCUGAUGCAGCAACGCCGCGUGCGGGAUGACGGCCUUCGGGUUGUAAACCGCUUUCGCCCGUGACGAAGCGUGAGUGACGGUAAUGGGUAAAGAAGCACCGGCUAACUACGUG